This 501-nucleotide ribosomal RNA is filed under the name uncultured bacterium. RNAcentral's name for it is "partial 16S ribosomal RNA". It matches the Rfam family "Bacterial small subunit ribosomal RNA", at positions 30 to 523 of the family's 1533-position model. The record is from RNAcentral.
AUUGAACGCUGGCGGCAUGCCUUACACAUGCAAGUCGAACGGCAGCACGGGUGCUUGCACCUGGUGGCGAGUGGCGAACGGGUGAGUAAUACAUCGGAACGUACCUUAUCGUGGGGGAUAACGCAGCGAAAGUUGCGCUAAUACCGCAUACGCCCUGAGGGGGAAAGCGGGGGACCGUAAGGCCUCGCGCGAUUAGAGCGGCCGAUGUCUGAUUAGCUUGUUGGUGAGGUAAAAGCCCACCAAGGCGAUGAUCAGUAGCUGGUUUGAGAGGACGAUCAGCCGCACGGGGGCUGAGACACGGCCCAGACUCCUACGUGAGGCAGCAGUGGGGAAUUUUGGACAAUGGGGGCAACCCUGAUCCAGCAAUGCCGCGUGAGUGAAGAAGGCCUUCGGGUUGUAAAGCUCUUUUGUCAGGGAAGAAACAGCAGCUCUAACACAGUCUGCGAAUGACGGUACCUGAAGAAUAAGCACCGGCUAACUACGUGCCAGCCGCCGCCGUAA